RNAcentral lists this ribosomal RNA (195 nucleotides) under uncultured bacterium. RNAcentral's name for it is "partial 16S ribosomal RNA". It matches the Rfam family "Bacterial small subunit ribosomal RNA", at positions 333 to 528 of the family's 1533-position model. The record is from RNAcentral.
AAAAUACGGGAGGCAGCAGUGAGGAAUAUUGGUCAAUGGGCGAGAGCCUGAACCAGCCAAGUCGCGUGAAGGAUGACUGUCUUAUGGAUUGUAAACUUCUUUUAUACGGGAAUAACAAGAGUCACGUGUGACUCCCUGCAUGUACCGUAUGAAUAAGCAUCGGCUAACUCCGUGCCAGCAGCCGCGGUAAUUUUU